This 214-nucleotide long non-coding RNA is filed under the name Capsicum annuum. RNAcentral's name for it is "long non-coding RNA (CANN_LNC014236)". Lineage: Eukaryota; Viridiplantae; Streptophyta; Magnoliopsida; Solanales; Solanaceae. The record is from RNAcentral.
CCAAUUACAUAUAAAAUAACUACUUUCCUCCACUUUGCGUUCUUUGUUUCAACAUCACUUGGCACCAAUUGAACUAGCUUAGCACCGUCCUUCACCACAAGAGCAACAUAGGAUAGAUCUAUACCGCGAGCAUUUAGCUUAGCACCAGUAAAUAGACUCUUCCAUUGUUGACCUUCUUGUGGUUGCUGCAAAUCUAGCUUUCUCUUCACUUUCA